This 30-nucleotide non-coding RNA is filed under the name Rattus norvegicus (Norway rat). The record is from RNAcentral. Lineage: Eukaryota; Metazoa; Chordata; Mammalia; Rodentia; Muridae.
UGCUCUGAGGACAUUCCUUUCUGCUGCCUU